Long non-coding RNA from Bufo gargarizans (Asiatic toad), 2634 nucleotides. RefSeq lists it as uncharacterized. The record is from RefSeq and is a predicted model, not a curated record. Lineage: Eukaryota; Metazoa; Chordata; Amphibia; Anura; Bufonidae. The transcript has 4 exons.
GAAGGCGGGAGAAAACAGCCAGGAGCAGGAGGACAGGAGCUGCAGGCAGCAGUAGAGAAGAAGAUGGCAGAGCGCAGAGGCAGACGAGCACUGAGUGGGUCUGAGAGCAGCACCACGUCAGGUCCAGCAGACCAGCACCAGCGGUCCAGCGCCCAGCCCAGAGCCAGAGUAUUUCAUUGCUUGGAGCAGUGCGUCGCCAGAAUUUGAAGAGGAGAAGAGCACGUCAGUGAAGACUGCAGUCCAAUGAGAAAGAUCCCAACAAGGGAUAAAACACAACAUCAGCUCCGCCGAGCCCCCGGCCAAAGUGUUGAAGUGGCGUCUGAGAUCCCCAAGGGCCAAGCCAAGUAAUUGUGUGCACAUGGUCAUUUUGAAGGAAGGAUGACAUCACAGAUACAGAGUUGACCGUCUGAUAGCCUAGCCCGACUGCCCACCUCUCCUGAAGACCCUCAGCUUUUUAAGUCAAGUGGAGGACAUGAUCUCUUAAAGAGGGUCCCACAGAUGCCUCCCAGCAGUUUGAGCACCACUCCUACAAGAAGAGUCAAUGCCCUGAGUGAUUUCACUGGGGAAUUACUCUGUGGGUAGUACUUGUGUUGGGAUGCACCUCUGGCUGACUAUCAUCAUUCUAUAAGAUAAUAAUGUAGAUGUGUGCUGUCAAUAACCCCAUAUAGAUUUGUGAAUGUUUAGAUUAAAUGGCUACUAUAAGACAACCAGGAAUGGAUGUCUAACAUCCCAUGAUCUAUGCAGCUUAUCUGUAUACUUCAUGCAGUACGGGAAGUCUAAGUGGCCGUUUAUGGACAGGUAGGAAAGAUAGUUAGCUAACAAAUCAGAAAUGCAUAUAUGAGUGAUAAUGUAAUGAUCAAUAGAGGAGAAAAUGUAGCAGGAAAGAAUUAACUCUGAUUUCUUGUAUCAAUCAUUAUCAUGGUUUUUGUUCAUGUCUGGUUUCUUUUCACUUUCCUGCUUCUCCUCUAUUGAUAUAACAUUCAAUUAUUGCCUGGAAAUGAUUAAUAUGUUAUAUUUUUAGAUGAGGGUGUGGCUAUGUCCAUUUUGUAGGAAGGAUGACAUCACAGCUACAGAGAUGACCGUCUGAUAGCCCAGCUCGACUGCCCACCUCUCCUGAAGACCCCUCAGCUUUUUGAGAGUUGGGUGGAGGACAUCAUCUCUGAAAGAGGGUCCCACAGAUGCACCCUAGCAGUUUGAGCACCACUCCUACAAGAAGAGUCAAUGCCCUAAAAGCGUGAUUUCACCGGGGAUUACUCCGGGGUGAUCCUUGUGUUAGGAUGCACCUCUGGCUGGCUGUUGUCAUCCUUUUAGGUAGAUAAUGAAGUGUGUGCUGUCAAUAACCCAAUAAAGAAGCGGAAUGUUCAGAUGAAAUGGCUAUUAUGACGUGGUCAGGAAGGGAUAUCUAACAUCCCAUGAUGUAUACAGCUUACCUAAAUACUUCAUACUGUACAUGCAGUUUAAGGGGUCUUUUCAAGACAGCUAGGACAGAUAGUUAGCUAACAAAUCAAUGAGAAAUGCAUAUAUAUGUGAUAAUGUAAUGAUCAAAAGAAGAGAAAAUGUGAAAGGAAAGAAGUAACUCAGAUUUCUUGUAUCAAUCAUUAUCAUGGUUUUGGUUCAUGUCUGGUUUCUUUCUACUUUCCUGCUUCUCCUCUAUUGAUACAACAUUCAAUUAUUGCCUGGAAAUGAUUAAUAUGUUAUAUUUUUAGUUGAGGGCGUGGCUAUGUUCAUUUUGUAGGAAGGAUGACAUCACAGCUACAGAGUUGACCGUCUGAUAGCCCAGCUCGACUGCCCACCUCUCCUGAAGACCCCUCAGCUUUUUGAGAGUUGGGUGGAGGACAUCAUCUCUGAAAGAGGGUCCCACAGAUGCACCCUAGCAGUUUGAGCACCACUCCUACAAGAAGAGUCAAUGCCCUAAAAGCGUGAUUUCACCGGGGAUUACUCCGGGGUGAUCCUUGUGUUAGGAUGCACCUCUGGCUGGCUGUCGUCAUCCUUUUAGGUAGAUAAUGAAGUGUGUGCUGUCAAUAACCCCAUAAAGAAGCGGAAUGUUCAAAUGAAAUGGCUACUAUGAGGUGGUUGGGAAGGGAUAUCUAACAUCCCAUGAUGUAUACAGCUUACCUAAAUACUUAAUGCAGUACAUGCAGUCUAAGGGGCCUUCAAGACAGCUAGGACAGAUAGUUAGCUAACAAAUCAAUGAGAAAUGCAUUUAUGAGUGAUAAUGUAAUAAUCAAAAGAGGAGAAAUUGUGAAAGGAAAGAAGUAACUCUCAUUUCUUGUAUCAAUCAUUAUCAGGGUUUUGAUUCAUGUCUGUUUUCUUUCCACUUUCCUGCUUCUCCUCUAUUGAUAUAACAUUCAAAAGAGGCGACCUUGACAUGGUGAGUGGCUUAUUACGCUUUGGCCAAAAUGUACACUAAUGCCUCAUUCAACAUCCAGCAUAGAGGAAGGGCAGAGUGCUGGUUGCAGAGUGCGAUUGCAUUUGUGUUUUAACAUUCAAUAAUUACAUGGAAAUGAUUAAUAUGUUAUAUUCAUAGUUACGGGCGUGGACAUGUCCAUUUUGUAGGAAGGAUGACAUCACAGCUACAGAGUUGACCGUCUGAUAGCCCAGCUCGACUGCCCACCUCUCCUGAAGACCCCUCAG